Molecule: ribosomal RNA, 166 nt
Filed under: uncultured bacterium
Lineage: Bacteria
Description: partial 16S rRNA
Rfam family: Bacterial small subunit ribosomal RNA
Source: RNAcentral
UAGGGAAUCUUCGGCAAUGGGGGGCAACCCUGACCGAGCAACGCCGCGUGAGUGAAGAAGGUUUUCGGAUCGUAAAGCUCUGUUGUAAGAGAAGAACGUGUGUGAGAGUGGAAAGUUCACACAGUGACGGUAACUUACCAGAAAGGGACGGCUAACUACGUGCCCG